CUGCCUCAUACAGGGGGAUAACAGUUAGAAAUGACUGCUAAUACCGCAUAAGCGCACAGGGACACAUGUUCCGGUGUGAAAAACUCCGGUGGUAUGAGAUGGACCCGCGUCUGAUUAGCUGGUUGGCGGGGUAACGGCCCACCAAGGCGACGAUCAGUAGCCGACCUGAGAGGGUGACCGGCCACAUUGGGACUGAGACACGGCCCAAACUCCUACGGGAGGCAGCAGUGGGGAAUAUUGCACAAUGGGGGAAACCCUGAUGCAGCAACGCCGCGUGAGUGAAGAAGUAUUUCGGUAUGUAAAGCUCUAUCAGCAGGGAAGAAGAUGACGGUACCUGAGUAAGAAGCCCCGGCUAACUACGUGCCAGCAGCCGCGGUAAUACGUAGGGGGCAAGCGUUAUCCGGAUUUACUGGGUGUAAAGGGAGCGUAGACGGUGAGACAAGUCUGAAGUGAAAGCCCGGGGCUCAACCCCGGGACUGCUUUGGAAACUGCCUGACUGGAGUGCUGGAGAGGCAAGCGGAAUUCCUAGUGUAGCGGUGAAAUGCGUAGAUAUUAGGAAGAACACCAGUGGCGAAGGCGGCCUGCUGGACAGUAACUGACGUUGAGGCUCGAAAGCGUGGGGAGCAAACAGGAUUAGAUACCCUGGUAGUCCACGCCGUAAACGAUGA
Molecule: ribosomal RNA, 668 nt
Filed under: uncultured bacterium
Lineage: Bacteria
Description: bacterial SSU rRNA
Rfam family: Bacterial small subunit ribosomal RNA
Source: RNAcentral